AGGAUGAACGCUAGCGGCAGGCCUAAUACAUGCAAGUCGAACGGUAAGUAGUGUAGCAAUACAUUGCCUAGAGUGACGUACGGGUGCGUAACACGUAUGCAACCUACCCUUUACAGGCGGAUAGCUCGGGGAAACCCGAAUUAACCCGCCGUAGUAUAAUUGAAUGGCAUCAUUUUGAUUAUUAAAACUCCGGUGGUAAAGGAUGGGCAUGCGUCUGAUUAGUUAGUUGGUAGUGUAACGGACUACCAAGACGAUGAUCAGUAGGGGAACUGAGAGGUUGAUCCCCCACACUGGCACUGAGAUACGGGCCAGACUCCUACGGGAGCAGCAGUAGGGAAUAUUGG
This 344-nucleotide ribosomal RNA is filed under the name uncultured soil bacterium. RNAcentral describes it as "bacterial SSU rRNA". It matches the Rfam family "Bacterial small subunit ribosomal RNA", at positions 26 to 367 of the family's 1533-position model. The record is from RNAcentral.